This 109-nucleotide ribosomal RNA is filed under the name Curtobacterium sp. MCSS17_008. RNAcentral describes it as "partial 16S ribosomal RNA". It matches the Rfam family "Bacterial small subunit ribosomal RNA", at positions 1 to 107 of the family's 1533-position model. The record is from RNAcentral. Lineage: Bacteria; Bacillati; Actinomycetota; Actinomycetes; Micrococcales; Microbacteriaceae.
UUUUACGGAGAGUUUGAUCCUGGCUCAGGACGAACGCUGGCGGCGUGCUUAACACAUGCAAGUCGAACGAUGAUGCCCAGCUUGCUGGGUGGAUUAGUGGCGAACGGGU